CAGUAUCAAUGCCACCCUCCCAGUUAAGCCGGMAUAUUUCAGCACUGACUUAUUAGGCCGCCUACGCACCCUUUAAACCCAAUAAAUCCAGACAACGCUUGCCACCUACAUAUUACCGCGGCUGCUGGCACGUASUUAGCCGUGGCUUAUUCACCAGGUACCUUCAAUUUUCCACGCAMGGAAAUUUUAUCCCCUGACAAAAGCAGUUUACMACCCAGAACGCCBUCUUCCUGCACACGGCAUGGCUGGUUCAAGMUCUCACCCAUUGACCAAUAUUCCCUACUGCUGCCUCCC
RNAcentral lists this ribosomal RNA (294 nucleotides) under uncultured bacterium. Its description in RNAcentral is "partial 16S ribosomal RNA". The record is from RNAcentral.